Long non-coding RNA from Astatotilapia calliptera (eastern happy), 1406 nucleotides. Lineage: Eukaryota; Metazoa; Chordata; Actinopteri; Cichliformes; Cichlidae. The record is from Ensembl.
GUUUUUGUUUUUCCUCCGAGUUGGGGGAAUAUUUUUUUCUUUUACAAAUCAUCUCUCUGGAUAUUGUAGUUAUAUUUUGGCUGCUGUCAGGUGACAUGAGGCUGAGAGAGAGUGAAGUACCCCCUGGUCAUCACAGCUAAGAGGGAGUAAAAGGCGUUAACAUCCAGCUUUAUGUGAUUAAAAAUGAGCAACGUGCUAAACAGACCUUUUCCCCGUUUUUCCUGUGAUUUUUCUGUGAUUAGAUGUUAAUAAUGUGAUUGGAUGUCCCCGGGAAGGAACAGUUCAGAAGAUUGGAUGUAAGUCGUUCACAAAUCACAUCAGAGAUGCUUGACCCAGUCCGACCUGUGAACCUACAAACUGGUCGUAUAUUUUUGGCUUUCCUCUCUGCUCAUUUUCCCUGUGUUAGAUGGUUAGUUCUGAAGGAUUUUGGUUUACAUCAUACUUCCACAGUUCUCCUGUUGGGUGAUUUUCAUCAACUCAAUAAUCAUCAAUAUUUUAUUUCUAUAGCACAUUUAAAAAGGACAGUGUCCAUCAAAGUGCUUCACACAAGGUAGCAAAGCAGAUUACAAAGGCAACAAAAACAGUUAACAACAAUUAAAAACAGUUGUAGUUACAGUCACAUAGCACAACUGCAGGCCAGGUGGAAGUCCAAACUAAUUUGCUUCAAAAGCUAGAUGGAACAGGUGAGUUUUUAAGCGUGUGUAGCAGCACGAGGUGGGAAUAAAGCAAAUACUCUUCACAGUUUAAAAGACAACGCCACCCUGGGAAUUUCACCCAGAGAAUACUGGAAGUAACACUAAUCACCAAGAAGGCACUUAGGUUCAUUAUACUCAGUACGGAGACAAAGUUCAAUGAUAAAACAAUUUAUUAAUAAUUAUUUAAAACAACAUAUAAAAGCACAAACAUAAAUAUCAAUGUACAAAUAUGCUUAAAAAAGGUAUUCAGAGCCGAGGCUUACCAGUGGAGGGGCAGGGAUGCCACGCACAAACUCAAAAAAAAAGAAAAGAAAACACACCAAUACACAAGUGCAGCACACUCUCACUAAUAAACUAAAAGACAGGUGUGUAACACUCAAAAGUUCCCACCACCAAGGCGCCCCCAGUCUCCUCCACGUCAGCCCUCCGCAUCUGAAUAAAAGAAAAAAGAAAAUUAUAAUAUAUUACAACAAAACUAAUAUGCAGCGCUGGGGGAUAACCCAACUGCAGGACCACACUGGUGAUCUACAGCUAGAAAAAGGGCCUCCUACCAGUGGCGUGACAAAAAUCCAAACUACAAAUCAAAACAACAGAAAACAUACAAUCUAGAUAAAACUUUAAAAUCUGGAGCAGACGGAAUCGCCGUAUUGCUUCAACUUGCCGUCUGCCCGACUAUAAGUUAAUCAUCCAGUCAAUCAAUGUGCACGCCAG